CAGCAGCCACGGUAAUACGUAGGUGGCAAGCGUUGUCCGGAAUUAUUGGGCGUAAAGCGCGCGCAGGCGGAUCAGUUAGUCUGUCUUAAAAGUUCGGGGCUUAACCCCGUGAUGGGAUGGAAACUGCUGAUCUAGAGUAUCAGAGAGGAAAGUGGAAUUCCUAGUGUAGCGGUGAAAUGCGUAGAUAUUAGGAAGAACACCAGUGGCGAAGGCGACUUUCUGGACGAAAACUGACGCUGAGGCGCGAAAGCCAGGGGAGCGAACGGGAUUAGAUACCCGUGUAGUCCCUGUCUCUUAUACA
This 301-nucleotide ribosomal RNA is filed under the name uncultured bacterium. RNAcentral's name for it is "partial 16S ribosomal RNA". It matches the Rfam family "Bacterial small subunit ribosomal RNA", at positions 509 to 809 of the family's 1533-position model. The record is from RNAcentral.